GGCCUCGUAGCCCAGCUGUUAGAGUAUACGCGUUCAAAGCGUAGGCGGCGUCCAUGCGUGGGUUCCAAUCUCACCGAGGCUA
This is a non-coding RNA of Echinostoma caproni, 82 nucleotides long. NCBI's taxonomy places the organism in Eukaryota, Metazoa, Platyhelminthes, Trematoda, Plagiorchiida, Echinostomatidae. The record is from Rfam.